GAAAUGCGAUAAGUAAUGUGAAUUGCAGAAUUCAGUGAAUCAGCGAAUCUUUGAACGCACAUUGCGCCCGCCAGUAUUCUGGCGGGCAUGCCUGUUCGAGCGUCAUUUCAACCAUCAAGCCCCCGGCUUGUGUUGGGGACCUGCGGCUGCCCGCAGGCCCUGAAAAACAGUGGCGGGCUCGCUGUCACACCGAGCGUAGUAGCAUACAUUCUCGCUCAGGGCGUGCUGCGGGUUCCGGCCGUUAAACGACCUUCAUAACCCAAGGUUGACCUCGGAUCAGGUAGGAAGACCCGCUGAACUUAAGC
RNAcentral lists this unclassified non-coding RNA (305 nucleotides) under plant metagenome. RNAcentral describes it as "partial contains 5.8S ribosomal RNA, internal transcribed spacer 2, and large subunit ribosomal RNA". The stretch from base 1 to 105 matches the Rfam family "5.8S ribosomal RNA", at positions 50 to 154 of the family's 154-position model. The record is from RNAcentral.